UGUCGAAUUCGUUUAUUUGCACCGCCUGCACCGCUUUGCCACCGGGUGUAGCAAACUUGCACCGAAAGCGUUCGUUUAUUCGCAGAUCCUGUUCUGUUUUGACACUCGAUUGGCACCGGUGCAAGAAAAUGCUACACCCAGAUUGAGCUCGGUGUAGCAGGUACAAAGCUAGUUUUACCAAUACAUGCAUAUCGCUGAACUUGUAUCGUGGUUUUGUUUUGGUAGAAAUGAUUAAUUUCUUUUCGGCAUUAGGUAAAUAAUUUUCUUGGAUUAUUUGUUUAUUUUGAGAUGUUUUGUUUUCAAACAGCAAUCUGUGCAUUUACAAAAUAUUUAAACUUGAUCGGCUUUCAACUUCUGAGGAAUCUUCAAAAUUUAUCGGUGAAAUGAAAUUUCAAAGAGUUGCUACAGCGUAUAUUUUUCCCAUCACUACUUUUUUUUGUUAUCGCAAAUAUUCAAGGAAAAUCACACUUU
Molecule: long non-coding RNA, 471 nt
Organism: Aedes albopictus (Asian tiger mosquito)
Lineage: Eukaryota; Metazoa; Arthropoda; Insecta; Diptera; Culicidae
Exons: 2
Source: RefSeq, a predicted model, not a curated record